This is a long non-coding RNA of Triticum dicoccoides, 1314 nucleotides long. RefSeq lists it as uncharacterized. The transcript has 7 exons. The record is from RefSeq and is a predicted model, not a curated record. NCBI's taxonomy places the organism in Eukaryota, Viridiplantae, Streptophyta, Magnoliopsida, Poales, Poaceae.
GGUGCCAUUGUUGUUGAUUCCAUUGUUCAUGGCCAUCUGAAAAGCUAAGGAACUGUUCAAACCUUGAAAUAAACUUGAACACCCUGCAGUUGUGUAAUUGAGGAGCCCCAUGACAUCAACAAGAAUGACGACGAUGAUGCGGAGGAGGAGGACCUCAACUACACACCACACAAAGUCCCUAUUGUCUGUCGGCAAUGGCUUCCUUCCCUGCAGCAGACCUGGACCCCAUGCCCAAGCUCACGAGGUCACCGUUGAGUCCGACCUCCACCUCGAUCAUGACGACGACGACCCGCACAAGGUCGAUCCCUACUUUACCACAAAUAUGUUCUUUCUUUUGUGAAGUAACAGUUCCUUGCUUUGUGUAAUGUUAAGAAACUGUUUGUUGAGACAACAAUUAGUCUCUCCCGGCUACAGGAACUGUUUAUAUGCAUUUGCUUAGGCUUGGAGCAUAACUCAUAAAUCAGUUACCUGUUUUGCAUAUCCUAUGAAUUUGAGCCUUAUCUGUUUGCUAUUUCUCCAUCUCAAAUCUCCAUCAGUAAGCUAAAAAAAGACUAGCUAGCUAAUCCUCUGUAAUUAGCUUGCUUCCCCCAUCUCACGCUGAAACCCUAGCUCUUCCCUUGGUGACGGAGAGGCUCACAUCAUGGAUCCUCUCCUCGAAGACAUCAACGGCCAAGGAAGGAGAAGCUGCUGCAUAGGUGCCAUCCUGUAGCCAUGGACGGCACUCAUAGCAUGUGCGAAGUCUGCUCCUUCCCCGCAUGGCUAGUUAGCACUUCUCCCGCCCAUGGAAGCAGCAGGCACCCUCCGCCGAUGACCUGGACCCCAUGCCCAAGCUGACGAGGAGGACAUCGUCGAGUCUGACGUCCACCUCGACCAUGAUGACGCCCCGCACAAGUUCAACUACUUGGUCGGUUGCCACUACUCUCUGCCUGAUGACCGGUUAUGGGCGAUCGGCAGAACAAGUGAGUUGACACUAGGUUACUUCCCUGUAAAAAACGAUCCCGCCGGAGGGCGGAGGCUGUCCUGGAAGGAGGCCACACAUGAGUUAUGAGGACCAUAUGCCUAGGUGGAAGCAGUCUUGAGAACCUUGGCCAAAACAAGGAAGUUUGAGAAGGCUAGUGGUAUGAGGAACAACCAUGGCUUCAAGGUUUAACUCAUGUAUGUGUACCAUCCAUGAUAUGCACUUACAUCCGGAUCUCUGUUGGUCUAUGCUUGUAGUUCCGACUUUAGCGGUAUGCCGUUUCCCAUCACACACAUGGAGCGGUCUUGUUCUUUUUGUUAUAUGUUGUGUAUGCUCGCCUCAUUCCUGAAAUUCCA